UACGAAGGGGGCUAGCGUUGCUCGGAAUUACUGGGCGUAAAGCGCACGUAGGCGGCUUCUUAAGUCGGUGGUGAAAUCCUGGAGCUCAACUCCAGAACUGCCUUCGAUACUGAGAAGCUCGAGUCCGGGAGAGGUGAGUGGAACUGCGAGUGUAGAGGUGAAAUUCGUAGAUAUUCGCAAGAACACCAGUGGCGAAGGCGGCUCACUGGCCCGGUACUGACGCUGAGGUGCGAAAGCGUGGAGAGCAAACAGG
RNAcentral lists this ribosomal RNA (253 nucleotides) under uncultured bacterium. RNAcentral describes it as "partial 16S ribosomal RNA". It matches the Rfam family "Bacterial small subunit ribosomal RNA", at positions 524 to 776 of the family's 1533-position model. The record is from RNAcentral.